GAGUUUGAUCGUGGCUCAGGACGAACGCUGGCGGCGUGCUUAACACAUGCAAGUCACGGGGGUCCCGCAAGGGAUAACCGGCGAACGGGUGCGUAACACGUGAACAACCUGCCCUCGUGUGGGGAUAGCCGGGCUAACGCCCGGGUAAAUACCGCAUACGGUCCUUCGGGGAGUCCCUGGGGAAGAAAGCUCCGGCGCACGGGGAGGGUUCGCGGCCUAUCAGCUAGGUUGGGGGGUAAUCGGCCCACCAAGGCGACGACGGGUAGCUGGUCUGAGAGGAUGGCCAGCCACAUUGGGACUGAGAGACGGCCCAGACUCCUACGGGAGGCAGCAGUGGGGAAUCUUGCGCAAUGGCCGAAAAGGCUGACGCAGCGACGCCGCGUGUGGGAGGACGCCUUUCGGGGUGUAAACCACUGUUGCCCGGACGAACAUCCCUUUCGAGGGACGUGACGGUACCGGGUGAGGAAGGCACCGGCUAACUCCGUGCCAGCCGCCGCGGUAAC
RNAcentral lists this ribosomal RNA (503 nucleotides) under uncultured bacterium. RNAcentral describes it as "bacterial SSU rRNA". It matches the Rfam family "Bacterial small subunit ribosomal RNA", at positions 9 to 524 of the family's 1533-position model. The record is from RNAcentral.